This 510-nucleotide ribosomal RNA is filed under the name uncultured bacterium. Its description in RNAcentral is "partial 16S ribosomal RNA". It matches the Rfam family "Bacterial small subunit ribosomal RNA", at positions 28 to 507 of the family's 1533-position model. The record is from RNAcentral.
GACGAACGCUGGCGGCGUGCUUAACACAUGCAAGUCGAACGGGAUGAUUUAGAAGCUUGCUUUUAGAGAAUCUAGUGGCAAACGGGUGAGUAACACGUAGGCAACCUGCCGACAGGAUGGGGACAACAUUCCGAAAGGAAUGCUAAUACCGAAUGAAGCGCAGGAGAGGCAUCUCUCCUGCGUGAAAGAUGGCCUCUAUUUAUAAGCUAUCACCUGUCGAUGGGCCUGCGUCUGAUUAGCUGGUUGGUGAGGUAACGGCUCACCAAGGCGACGAUCAGUAGCCGGUCUGAGAGGAUGAACGGCCACAUUGGGACUGAGACACGGCCCAGACUCCUACGGGAGGCAGCAGUGGGGAAUCUUCCGCAAUGGGCGCAAGCCUGACGGAGCAACGCCGCGUGAGUGAAGAAGGUCUUCGGAUCGUAAAGCUCUGUUGAUGGGGACGAACGUGCGAAGGGUGAAUAAACCUUUGUAAUGACGGUACCUGUCGAGGAAGCCACGGCUAACUACGUG